Molecule: long non-coding RNA, 9935 nt
Organism: Apus apus (common swift)
Lineage: Eukaryota; Metazoa; Chordata; Aves; Apodiformes; Apodidae
Exons: 4
Source: RefSeq, a predicted model, not a curated record
CAAUAGGACACAAGCAUCCGGGGGAGCCUGGGCACGACGACCAAUGGGUGACUGCGGCUUGGCCCCGGCCAGGCUAUAAAAGGAGGCCCUCGGCGGCGUGUCCUGCGUCUUCCUUCAGCAGCUCUUCGGGGUGUGGUGGCAGCCUUUCCCUUGGGGCUGGCACCCUGGAGGACUUCGCGGGCGGUGCACCCUCACCUCUCCUUUGUGGACUGUUCUUCAGGAAUGUGGAACAGCAAGUUUAUACAGAAGACAGUGUUGUCAAUAGCUGGCAAACCUUGGAGGGACAAGGAGGAAGAUGUUUGGCAACAUUAUGAACACUGGAAGACAAAAUACAGUGAACAGAAAAUUUAUCUGGAGAUAUCAUCAGACCUGGCUUCUUCUGUGUGUGUGUUAGUUUGCAGACACCAAGCUUAACACCUGUGAAGAUUAUAAAUGUAGUAUCUGAUAAGACUCUGUUGUAUGUCUAAGAAACCAUGCAUCUAAAAAGCAACAGAUAAACUAUAAUACCGCUGCUUAAUUCUUCUACUCAGUAUAUUCCUAUUGCAGUGUGUAAUGAAGCUGAGGUUUUUCUCCACAGCUGUGAACAUGCAGCAUGCUCUGUUUCUCUGGCAGUUCAGCGGUGUAGUAUUGACAUGGCAACUUUUGAUUCUGACUCUCCUCCCCAGAACUGUACUGUCUACAGCACAGCUUUCUGACUCCACACAGGUUUAAUCCUGCUUGCUUUUAUAUAGGGGAAUUAACUGGUGGUGGGUUCAGGCUCUCACAGUGUCACACUUCCAUCAUUAUUUGCAGCAAGAACCAGCCUUUUUCCUUUCUUGUAACCAGUCUGUUAGCUUAAAAGUCCUAAGCGUGCAAUAUGGAAGUGAUUGAAACAGUGGUUAAACUAUGAGAAUGCUAAAAAAUUACCUUGAUUCAGCUUUCAGCGGGAUAAUUAGUUAGAGUAAGGAUAAAAGUGACCAACUCCAGUGUGUGAUGCCCACUUGGGAUACAGUUCUGCAUUUCCCAUACCCCACUGUCUCUUCCUUCUCCUGCACGUCUUGUGCACGCUCAGGCCUCCAUGGGCCUGCUUCUUAGCCUUGCAGAAAACUGAUGGGGAAAAAAACGCAUGGUCUUAUUUUUUUCUGCCAGGUUGGUGAGUUGAGCUGGCUCUCUGAGGUGUCUGACAAAUCUAAGGUCUAGAGCAAACGUUUAACCAUAUAUGGCUUAAAAACAGGAAUUGCACAGCCAGGACAGGUAGAAAGAAUAAAAAGGAAAACAGAAUUGGAAAGGGCAAAAAAGCCUUCCCUGUUCAAUGGAGGGAAUACAUUGAUCAUGUCAGCUGACUAGAAGUGCUCUCUCUGUGUUAUUUCUCCUUACAUCCUUUUGUUAGCCUUUUCCAAUUAGUAAGCCCUUUGCAGCAGGGCUUGUGCAUAAUAUUGCAGAUGGACUGAGAUACUGCAAGAACAGCAAUGAUGAUACAGUAAGAGUUAUAUUAAGUCCAGCUCAGCUUCUGGUAACUGUUGGCUUGAUUCUUUUAUUUAAGUGAUAGAGGGUUUUUCCCCAGUGUGUAUCACAGAAGUGAUAGCAUCCCUUGGUUAAAGAAAACGUCUCAAUUGUUCUAGGUAAUUUGCACCUUGCAUAAUGAGCAGAACUAAUAGGCAGAAAGUUUCCUGACUUGUGAAGCGGAAACUGGGUGAAAAACACUAGUAGAAUGCAGCAAUGGUUGUUCCAUGCAUUUCAAGCAUGUGCAGAAGCAACACACAGGCAGGAUGUAGGGACGUAGGUACAGGCCCUUGUGUUUAUAAAGUCAUAAACUUCACUCUGCCCGGUUUAGGCUAGUUAUUUUUUUUUUUUCUUUUAGCUCUUUGACAUACUUUCGAAAAUGAAAUAUUAAUGACCUGCCACAACACUCAGUGCCAUAGUAUAGACUGGUGGGCUGUGUGCAUUUGAGCUUAACCCUUCCAAUAAAUCACAAAAGCAUUUUCUUGCCAGAAGUGCAUGCUACUGCUGCUGCAUGUGGCAGGUGAGGCAUAAUAUAAGAAGCCCCACUAAAUACAGGGAGCAACCUAAGCUGUGCCGUUGGACACAUACCAAAUUAGGUUGACCUAGGUCUCUGUGUAGUUUCCUGUUGGAAAAGACCUGUGGCAUCUCUGCCAGUGCAGGGUUAGCAGGGGCUGCCUUGUGGCAUCUGAGAUAACAUCUAGCUUGGAGGGUAAGGGCUGCUAACAGCUGAAGGCCAUGCAGGGCUUUGGGGAAAUGCAGCCCAGACAAUUCUGCUUCAGCAUGGAGACAACCCCUAGCACUAACUGUAGUUACUUCCCUCAUUAAAUAGCUGCUACUGAAGAAUCAAAUUAAAACAAAAAAAACUCUUUGUGGAGGACAUCAUAAUUACAUAUAAGAGAUUUAUUUUUAGGGAAGAAUUAUUCAAGGAUCAUGAAACAGAAAAUAAGCCAGCUUGAGGAUGGUGGAAGACAUUACACUGGAAACAUCAGUAUUAAUACAGUGAUUGUGGAAAACAAGAAAUUAUAUAAGGUGCUCAGUUUUCAGUCAUAUCAGUAGGGUCAUUAGCAGCAAUUACAAAACAACAGAACUUAGGGUAUUAAAACUGAAGAGAAAAUAUAUUUUGUCUUUUUUUUUUUCCUGAAGUACAAACUAUUUGUAAAGCCCUCAGGGUCUUCCAUACCAUGGAGUUAUGCAUAUAUUAAAAAAGAGAAGCAGGCUUGUGUGCUCUUGUUGCAAUUUAACAAUGACAAGGAGGAAAGUCUGUCUGAAGUAUCUGCAGAUAGGCAGUGGCUGCAAAGUGGUUGCAUGCAUGUUUUCUGCAGUGGUCCUCUCAUUUUAGUGAUCAAAUGUUAGCAUAACCAUUUAUGUGCCAGGAUCCUGUGCAACUGGUAUGCAACUCUUCAUCACCACUGACAAAAAGUAAAACAGCUCUGCUAUAACAGGAUUAGGCAGUAAUUCCCACGACUGUCAAAGCAACUGGAAUCCAUGGGAAUGCAAACUGGGCUGCCCCUGGGAACCUCGUUUUGAGAGACCCACAGGUUGAAUUAUAUCAAUCAGUGUGUCUGAAGUUAUAUAUACUCUUCUUGCCUAUUUUUUGGACUAGAGAGGGUUCAAUAUAUAAACUUUUGGGAAAAAAUAAUAAAAUUUUACUUUAUAUAAAUAGUUAUCUAUAAAAGUUACUUUAUCCAUAGCAAAUUAGGAUCCAGAUUAAUUUUCUCUUACCAUCAAGUGAGAAUACCCUGUAUAAACAUUGUGUCUCUACACACACAGUGGUAGACUCCUGGUAGAGCGUCGUUGACAUUAACAAAGCUACACCAAUUUACAUCACCUGGGAAUAUGGUCCAUAGGACCUAAGUUACACUGGAAGAUAAUGAUUUCUCUCUCAAGCAUUGUUUUGUGAACUCAGCCAUUAAAACAUGGGAAUGAAUUAACAUCUCAAUAUUACAUAUUGAAAUUUAAAAUAUUCUAAAAUAGCACAUUAAGCAUAUAAUUUUAAAAUUAUUAUGAUUGGCAUUUGCUUGUAUGGUGGUUAAGCAAUUCAGAUUCUGUGCAAUACAAGCAAAUCCACAGAUUUCACUGAGUUUGUAUACCUAUGUCAAGCCUACCAUCAGCACCAAGGUAUUUGUGUAUCAUUUGUCCACAUCUAGAUUUCAAGCCACAUGGUGCACUUCUCAUGUUUCUGAAAAGGUAUUUGAAACUUCUACUGAAGCUAACAGGAAUUCAGCCAGUUUAUGGAAGGUAGGACUAGGCUUCAAAUAGAUCCUAGGACUUGGACUGUUGCACUCUUCAUCUCAAAAGCAAGCUGGACACAAAUUCAGACUGAAUGAGGAAGAUUUUGCUGUUCAUGUUCUUAUUCUUUUACUUGGCAUGGAGCGUUUUUUAGAAUAAAGCCCAUUUUCUUGUCUGCAGGCAGAUCCAUUCAUAUGGCCGAUGCUUUCAUUUGUACCUUCUGGUUGAGACCCCUCUUCAGUUGUCUGCAACAGAAAUGAAGUGUCAGUGAAAGCACAUGUGUCUUUCAACAGGCAGCCAUUCCACUUGGAUUCCCAUUAGGUUAGGUAGCUCUGCCUGACUCUCCUCUCUUAGUGGCACAACUUCUUAGCUUUGAAAGAAAUUCUACCAUAGGUGCACAAAUGUCUAAGAGAAGGUGUGCAUCCCAAAUCUAGUAUAAUCUAGAUAGCAAAUAAUCCUGCCUUAAUUACUACAUCCCUAGACAGCUGAGCUAUUGCCUUCCCAUAAUUUGCAGCAUGACUGAAAAACUCACCAAGGAACACGUUUUUAAGGGUGUUAGGAAUAAUACAUGAUUUAUCAAAAGCUGUGGCUGCAACCUAAGUAGUCCUAAUUUGGAUGCAUGCCAUCCAUUCAUACUGAAAGAGCUAUGGUGGAAAUGAAAUUCUCGGAACUAUCCAAAAACUUGGAUACUUUCCAGGCUGAAGGCUUGCUCAGAAAGCCAAAUAUCCACCAGUAGCACACAGCAACACCUAGAACUAGUAAAAUGGUUGAUUGCUGAGAUAAAAUGUUUUUUCUGCCCGAAGUCGCAUUGCUGUUUGCACACAAGGUAGACAAGGUGAGGGGCUUGUCUAUAAGACACUUUUCAUUGGUCUGUAUUACUCACCUCUGUCUAGAUUUGCCCCAGUAACACAGUCCCCUCAGGAUUUCUAGUGGUGUAUUAUGGUCUGAGCUCAGUUUCAAGGCACAGAACCACUCACACCACCAAAAAUGAAGGCAUGCUCUACCAAAGUAAUUUAUAUUUACUUUGCCAAGCAAGUAUCUGAAUAAGAAAAAUUAAAAAAAACCAACCAAACAUACUUUUCUUUUACACUGUACAUUUGUAGAUGCAUUAUUUUCUGUCUUCAUUCCAGUUGCCUCUUCCAUUUCUAAAAAAGUAAUAAAAAAUUAAAAAGAACCAGAUGUAAGUAAGCAGUCAAUUUAACAGCUGGCUGAAAUAAAAAAUACCUAAUCAGCUGUUCCUCUGAGCAUUCAUGACUGAAAAAUGAUUAAUUCCUCCUAAAACAUUUUUCUGAGCAAACAUGAUGAAUGUAUCAGGAUUGUGUAGCCUGGGGGUAUUUAGAGAAAAUAAUGAAAUGAGCAGUAGCAGGGAGGUUCAGAUAGAUCUUUCAGAGCUGAAUUCUGCCUUUGUCCAGCAGGUUUGUGCUAGUCUAAGUCCAGUUGUUAUAAUCUUAGGAGAUGGGAGCAUUCAAUGUAGAAUGGGCUUGGAGAGUCCUUAUGGUAAUAGUACCCGACUUUUUUUAUCCCUGGAUUGGUCCCCAGGCAGAAGAUAAAUAGAGCCUGAAAACCUUUAGGCUAAAUUUCAGUCAGACAAUCAUGUUCCAGUAUGCCAGUUAAAAAAAGAAAAAAAAAAAACAAAAACACAAAGGUAGAGCAUAUUAUGGAAAAAUUCACCAGUAUUUCAGCAGUCUGUUUUAGGCCUGUGCUGAAUAAAUGUGCUCAUUCCUUAACAUCCAGCAUAUGUGACCAAAAAUGAGUAGUAACACAGUCUGUGAGAGAAAAGAUAAAGAGCAGUAUUUUGCCUGCGUUCUGGAUGAAGUACAUAUGGGGCUUUUUACUUAUUUAUGAUAAUUCUCAUUAAGAACAAGUUUGGACAAGUGGUAAGAAAUGUAAUUGAUUACAUUCUCUUGCAUGUAGUGGCCUAGAUGAUGGUAGCUGGUGUUUCUAAUGGGUCAUCUGGAACUGAACGAAAAAGAGUGUCCCUUUGAGUACUAAAGCAUACGUACCUGUGAGAAGUGCAUCAAUUGUCUCCACUGCAUGUUUUGCAUCUUCCAUUGUGAAACACAUUGGUGGUUUAAAUUUUAGUAUAUUUCUAUGGGGUCCAUCUGCACUAAGAAGGAUGUGAUGCUCUUUCAGCCUGUAGAAAGAGGAAACAUCUGUAUUAGACACAGAUAUAAAACUGUAUUUGUUAGUGUCAGACCCUACAGGCUGAAUUAGAAUUUGAAACUUCUUUUUCUAGUACUAUGUUAUUGAGAGCUUCACAAAUUUAAACUGAAAGUAAUGACUAACUGCUGGGAAAUAUCAGGAGAGUCUGAUAACUGCACAUAAGUUUCAAAAAACAUUUACUUGUAAAUAAGGUGAAGGGCUUCAGCUGUGGCUGGUGUUCGCGUUUGUUGGUCUUUCACCAGAUCCACUCCAACAAACAAGCCAACACCCCUGGAGUAGAGAAAAAAAUAGACAAAUGAAAUCCAAUGUCAGUAACCCAAACCUUCUGCUGUAAAUGCAAGAACCAUUUCUAACAACUGCAAUUCCCUUCCCUGGGGUGCAAGCAGGAAAGGAGCAGAAAAAAAGAGGAGCCUUAGCUCUUCAGUCAUCUUUUUGCACUGGUGACUUCAGACAAUCAAGUGAGAUAACAGAUAUUUCUGGAUAAAUAAGUGUAGCUGGCUCAUUAAGGCUAUGUGGCCACUUAAAUAAUGAAUAAAUUGUAAAAUUAUUUAAUUGUAACAUAAAUAAUUUAGUAAAUUUUAUUAUUUAUAAAUUUAAUAAUUUUAAAAUAGAAAAAUAAUUUUAUUUCUUUUUUAUCAUGCAAACCUCAAGCCAAGGAGCUGUGGAAGACAAUUAACUGAAAACAAGAACUAAAAAAACCCCACAGCCCAAAAGCACCCCACAAAACCUAAAGGUGGUCAUAAUGGUAGUAACAUGAGAUGAGGAAAACCCACACUAACAUUGCCAAAUGAAAGGGACCAGAGACUGGAAUAAGGUCACCAUCACCCCAACAGUGUGCUGACAACUGGGCUAUUGCACGGUGAUGGCUCUUCUUCCUACGCUUGCCCAGAGCUUUUCUAGUGGCUAAGCUUAUACCUAACUAUGCAGAUGGAUGGCUAACUUUUUAAAAAAAUAUAUAGCCUUAUGUGGCCUUACAUGAUCAGUUUUGGGUAGCCAAUUUUAAAAAACAGCCUAGCAUAAUCAUGAGAUAAUGUUUCUUUGUUCCCCUCACCCCAAACUUGUUGAUUUUUCUAGAACAGUUAUUUUUCUUCUCUGAAACACUGCUGUAUGGCACCCACCUGAUGUCUCCUACUAAGGGAUGUUUCUCCUUUUGCUGAGCUAGCAACUCCAGGAGAUAAUUUCCUACACGUGUAGCAUUUCCUUGGAGAUCUUCUUUUUCUAUUAUAUCCAGCACAGCCAAACCAAUAGCACAAGACACUGGAUUACCUCCAAACUGAUAGUAAAGACAAAGAGGAAAAAAAAAAACCAAACAUCAGAAACAUUCAUCUGUGUCUAUCCAUGUAGUUUUUCACUUGCCCUCUCUGGCUUGGCAUGUCAUGAGGAAAGCUUGAAGAGGUGUGGCUUUUGUGCCAUGCAGGCUGUGGCGCACCAUCCUCCACACUUAGCACAGUGUAAGAGGCUCAAGGGAGGGGCUCCCCCUUCAUCUGCUUCAGGUUCCAAUAAUUUGAAGAUUUCACAGCUGAAGUGUUCAAGAUGCUCUCACUGGUUGCUGAUUGCAUGCACAGGCAAAAUGAUCCUGUGAAGAGCAGUGACAGAUCUGGUAUGUCUUGAACUGGAGGGUUUAAGCUCCAUUGAAAGUGUGUGUGUGUGUGUGUGUGUGGGGAGGAUUCAUGGUAGCUGGGAAGAUGACUCAGUCACAGUAGUAGAAAGAGGACUCAUUAAACAAGAAUGCAGCUCCUCUGCAGCUCCAAUGCUUCCUGCUAAAGGGUCACUGUUUUGUUUUGCCCCGACAGCACACAGAGCCUAUCCUAGAGAAUGAAGUUGUGCAUGGUGAACAUUUCAAAGGGGAGAGCGAGAAGUAAGAAAGAAUGUAUCUGUAUGGAUGUGAGCUGAAAUGAAUGACUUGUCAGAGAGCUAGUGCUUGUCCAUAUUAAGAUACACCAAUUGGUACAAAGCAUAUUUCAAAGUCUCUCUCCUUGCUUCUAGAUCAGACUGUGGUUGACUCGAGCUUUUAGUAAUGUGAUACAGUGAAGGAUGCAGAUGUUAGCUGAACCACCUGAAGAGAUUCUAAACGCUAAAUGCAGAAGAAAAAAAGGCAAACCUUCACCUAUGAACUUACUGUAUUGAAAUAUUCCAGUCCAGAGGCACCAAAACUUUCAGCAAUUUCUCUUGUUGUGACCACACAAGACAUAGGGUGGCCAUUGCCAAUGGGCUUUCCCAUGGUGACAAUGUCAGGCACAAAGUCUUCACCUUGUAGCUGGAAUGCCCAAAAAUGUUUCCCAACUCUGCCAAAGCCAACCUGGACCUCAUCAGCUAUGAACACUCCACCCGCCGCAUGCACAUACCUGAAAACAAAUAGAAUAGCUUGAAUAACUACUGCUGCAGUACACGUUUUGGGUAGGCAAUCUAGGACAAGGGAGUUUUGGUUACAGAAAGUCUCCAGUAUGAGACCAGAUUAGGGAAGAAGAAAGAAUGUGUGUGCUGAAACACAGCUAUAGCUAUUUUAAUUGAUUUUUUUUUAGUUUGUUAAAUAUUAAGGAAAAAAAAGGUGUUUUGAUGCAAAAUAGGGGUACUGUAAUGGUACCACAGGUUUAUACGUGUGACGGUUCAGCUUCACCUUCUGUCAAAUUUCUGGCCUGAGGAUUAAAGACAGAAAAGGAAAGACAAUUAUCCAGCUAAACACAAUUAGUCAGCUGAUGUUCCAUAAAAGAUGGAAGCAGAAUCAUACUCUUCAAAAAGUAGACCCACAGAUAGCCAAGAACAAGAGAGGGUGACAGCUGAAUUGAUUGGAGAAGCCCAUCAUGAAAAACCUGUUUCUUUGGUUAAUUUUCCAGUUAUGCCCUUUUGAAAUGAGGUACAUACUCUGCCACUUUCUGGAAAAAGCCCACAGGUGGAAUUACUUGGCCUCCACAGCUCUGCAUGGAUUCGGCUAUGAAGGCAGCAAUCUACAAAAAACAAACUCAGAUAGAUAAUAGAAGUUAUUACAGCCUGAAUUUCUGCAUGGAAUUGCAAAAACGCUUACAGGCACUUAAACUCAAUCCAGUCCUGUGAUGUGUCCAACACUAGUGGAUCCAAUUGCUGAAAGAGCCAUCAUCUACCUCACCACCUUUCAAGACCCUCCUGCCUCUUCCCCAAGACACAAUACUAAGUCCUAAUCCAUCAUCUUAUUUCAGAUACUUGCAGAAAGAUCCAUUUCUGCAACUGGAGAAUGGGGUUUUCCAGUCUGUCCCUUCCCUUCCAGCAUCCUAAUAAUGGUAUGCAUCUGUAUGACCUUCAAGUUUCUACAAAGAAUGUUUGGAGAAUUUGAGGAAAUAAGGGAAAGGAUUAAAAGGUGGAUACUUCUUUGGCAGUGUGAACAACGCAAAGAGGUCUAGAUAGGAAAGACCUGCUUGCUGUAUGUCUCUGGGCUGGGAAUGAUUUCUGUAUUUGUAAGCUAUCUAAGUUCAGGCUGAAAUAUCAAAUAGUACCCCACGCAGCUGGACACCCACAAGCUCUGUACCCAGAUCUGCGUGAAUUUGUGGGCUCUGCCUUUCCACUUUUUGGAAGUAAACCCAAAAGUCCUGCUUAUCUUCAGCCAAAUGAACACACAGAUAUUGGCGAUUUAUUCAAACUGUAACUAUACAGUGCAGUGACUCACGAAGCUUGAAACAGUAUGAAGGAAAUCAGCCUCACAGCUGAAUACCCUCUCAGAAAUCCAAAAGCAAACAAUUUUGCUCUAUUUAAUUCAGUGACAAACAGCCAAGUGUAUGUACUCUAGCAUCAGCAAAACAGAAGUAUAUUUACACCAGAAGAUGGUAAUUCAAUAUGCUGUGUAACACACAUAGAAAUGACAAAAAGCAAAAAAACCACACUUACCACAUGCACAUACUCCUUCUUGCUGUCCUUUCCCAGCUGAUUAAAUUUAUAGGGACUGAUGUCAAUCAGAGAUGUAACAUGGCCAUGGUAAGCACUGCAUGAGUGUUAAAUAUCGAAGUCACUUUUAACCGAAUGUAUUGAAGAGCUAAAUUUACAACUGUGCCCAUAAAUAAACCAGAAUAAGCAACUGUAUCUGCAACACAGUA